Molecule: long non-coding RNA, 514 nt
Organism: Lotus japonicus
Lineage: Eukaryota; Viridiplantae; Streptophyta; Magnoliopsida; Fabales; Fabaceae
Exons: 2
Source: RefSeq, a predicted model, not a curated record
AUUACAAUGUAAGCAACAUCAAAGAAAAAAUGCAACACAAUAUUUGAUAAACUAGGUUCAACAAUUGUAUUCUAAAUCUCCAUCAAUUUCUUAUCCGUCAUAUUUUUUAGAUCUAUCAUCUAUCACGUUUUCAAUGAUUGAGAGGUUAAUGGGGAAUGGAAGUGUGACCCAGGCAGACACUCGGCCAAGCAGAGUAUUGGUGAUUAAAGGACCGGAGGAAGGUGGUGAUGGGAGAUUUUCAGUGGUGGAGGAAACGGGGGAGACAAGUGGCGGUGAUGAUGGAGAUACCAUAAGUCUUGCAGAAUUUAUUGAAACUCAAGUCCACAGCACCCCUCCCCCUGAAUGAAUGAAUGAGAUCAAUCAUAUAUUAGAAAAAAGUUCAUGAAAACAAACUUUUUUUAUAAGCCAAUAAUAAAAACAAACUUAAAUGUACUUUUAUUUUGUUAUGUUUCACUUUUCUCCCAACAAUUUAUGGAGACUAUUUAAAAUUAUUAUGUUAUGAAACUUUGAUUGA